Small nucleolar RNA from Betta splendens (Siamese fighting fish), 127 nucleotides. Ensembl annotates it as small nucleolar RNA SNORA65. Lineage: Eukaryota; Metazoa; Chordata; Actinopteri; Anabantiformes; Osphronemidae. The record is from Ensembl.
CCCGCCACUAUGCCUGUCUGUCAGAGUGACUGAGUAUGAUCCAGUGGGGGCUCAGAUUAACCCGGCUUUAGGAAACAGAGCUGUCCAAACAAAAGGGCAGCUCUGUGCCGAAAAGUCUGGAACACUU